Molecule: ribosomal RNA, 152 nt
Filed under: Bacteroidota bacterium
Lineage: Bacteria; Pseudomonadati; Bacteroidota
Description: Bacteroidetes bacterium partial 16S ribosomal RNA
Source: RNAcentral
CCUGACUCCAGCACCUGCCGCGUGAGUAGACGACGGUCUCUCUAUGAUGUUGUAAACUUCUUUUGUAUGGGGAUAAACCUACCCUCGUGAGGGUAGCUGAAGGUACUAUACAAAAAACCACCGGCUAACUCCGUGCCAGCACCCGCGGUAAA